This is a long non-coding RNA of Anguilla rostrata (American eel), 590 nucleotides long. RefSeq lists it as uncharacterized. NCBI's taxonomy places the organism in Eukaryota, Metazoa, Chordata, Actinopteri, Anguilliformes, Anguillidae. The record is from RefSeq and is a predicted model, not a curated record. The transcript is spliced from 2 exons.
AUGGGAUGUUGAAUAACAGUAGCCCACCAUAUUGCAAAAGCUGCAAAUGUUGCCACCUGCUGUUCUGUUAUGCUAACUUUAGCUUGUAAGUCAUUGAUUGGUUAUGGAAUCCACACACCAUGUUCUCAUCAAGAACUUAAUUGGUAGCUGAUUUAAAGGAAACCACAAAAACCCGUAGACACGGUGGACGCCUUGGGAUUCAGUUCGACACAUUCCGAGUUGUAGAGCUCUGACUUGGAUGUCCUCGGAAAGGGAAAUGGGGACAAGAAGACUAGAGACUUAGUCUGAAUGUCAGUUCUUCUGCCUAAAAUAUUUAACUUCAGACAUACCAGAACCGCCCUGUAAAGCAGGUUACCUUCUGAAAACCGAACUACAUUUUGGUAACACGCUGCACAGGACUGGCCCAUUCUGUCUGGCCCAGCGGGUGCAGUCCAGAGCUACAUUUUUGCCAUCUGUCCUGGCAUUUUUUUCCCCAAGGAUAGGUCUCAAAUGUUUGGAGCACUGAAGGCUGUCAAUCCCCCAGCUCAGCAGCAGAACUGCAUUUCUUACCUUUCUUCCCAAGAUGUACAUUAAAAGCCAUGGACCUUCCA